Molecule: ribosomal RNA, 167 nt
Filed under: uncultured bacterium
Lineage: Bacteria
Description: partial 16S rRNA
Rfam family: Bacterial small subunit ribosomal RNA
Source: RNAcentral
UAGGGAAUCUUCGGCCAAUGGACGAAAAGUCUGACCGAGCAACGCCGCGUGAGUGAAGAAGGUUUUCGGAUCGUAAAACUCUGUUGGUAGAGAAGAACGUUGGUGAGAGUGGAAAGCUCAUCAAGUGACGGUAACUACCCAGAAAGGGACGGCUAACUACGUGCCAG